Equus caballus (horse) is the source of this 2692-nucleotide long non-coding RNA. RefSeq lists it as uncharacterized. The record is from RefSeq and is a predicted model, not a curated record. Lineage: Eukaryota; Metazoa; Chordata; Mammalia; Perissodactyla; Equidae.
GAGAGGCUGAGACUCCCAGUGAAAGGCAGACAUGCCAUUCAGGAAGGUGAUCAAGAGUCCAGCUUAAAACUGGGUUCAAAUCUGGAUUCUGCUCCUGUGUGACUCCAGGCAACUUGCUAAGCCUCUCUGAAACCUGGAGUUUAUCACUGGCACAAAGGGGAUCAGAAUGCCUACCUCACAGGAUUUUCACGAGAAUUAAACAGGAGGAAGAAUGUAAGGUGCUCAGCUCUGCACCUGGGGACAGUAAGCGCUUGAUAAAUGCAGCUCUUGUAAGGGUGCCAUUCAGCAGAUUCUCGUGGGGGAGGGUUGGGGAGGCUGGCUCCCUCAGGCUUUUGCUCAACUUGAGCCACAGAGAAAAUAUUCAGUAAGUGGAUGUUGACUGGAUGUGUUUUCGUUCUCACAGCUGAGAGAAAACAGCAGUGCAGAGAGGUUAUGUGACUUGCUGGAUCGCAGGUCCCCAGCGAGCGAGGACUGGGAGGUCUGCCUGGACCCUGUUCUAUCUCACGAACUUAAGAAAAUCUCACUAAGAAAAAAGCAGACUGAAAAACAAUAUGUAUAGUAAGAUACCUUUUUUUGCUUAGAACUUUUAAAAAAUCUCUAUGUAUUUAGAAGAGCAUAGAAAAAAAAACCUACUGAAGAUUCCACCUUGCACUGAUUAUGACGGUCACCCCUGAGGACUGAGACUGACUUUAAGUGUGUGUUACUUUUUUUUUGGCUAAAACAUAAAGAUUUUUAAAAAUGUUCAAAGCACUCUAACUUCUAAUCCUACGGGAAAGAAUGUUCAUGUUUUAUCGAAAGAGAGACCAAAAUGUGCGGAGGGUCAUCUCUUCUGAAGGUCGUGAUAACUUCCUAACUUUUCAUCAAAUGGUCUCCAACCACCAGGCCAGUGGUAUGUAUUGAGAGCUACGCUUACUUCACGGGCUGUAAGUACAGCAGCAACUGGGACACGACUGCUAACGUGGUGGAAAGAAGUUAUGGCACAAGAAGGAUUUUUUUUAAGUCACCUAAAGUUCCUGUCAGAGUGGGAGCCUCAGCCUCUGGCGUUUCCUUCGUCAAGGUUGGCUGCUACGGCCUAUUCUUCACCUCAAUGCUUUCUUUCUAUUCCUUAUCGUGUGUAGAAUGCCCAUUUAACAUGAGGUGGUCAUGUGAUGUUUUUCCUGGAAAUUUAUUAUAAUUGCAAUGGUAGAUAUAUAAUCUAUACACACAAAGAAAAUAAACCUUCUAAUGAGGACUCAGGCUAACCACCUUAGGGAAUUGCUGUUUUUGAUUGUAUUUUAAGGCCAUUAAAAUAUCUGUUUAGUGAUUUAUUCACCCUGUAGACAGAUGUAGGGAUCAGUCUAUUUUUCACGUUACAGUGGAGUUUUCUUUUCAAAUAUUCUCCCUGGCCUUGUGGUGAAAUGUGCAUUAUGAUACUUCCUCAUCGUGACACAUGCAAAAGCGUUAUUCAUCAAAUGGUAUUUUCAAGCGUACUUCUCAUUAUUCUUUCAAGCACAUAAACAUAGCAAAGCCCUAGACUCUUGCCACAAUAUCAAAAGAAUUGAAGAUGUGGUGGAGCGCCUGACCUGCAUGGACCUGGAUUUUCGGGACAAGGUCACCGUAUUUCACAUGAACUUCUCUCCUGUUCUUUUCCCUUCUCCUCCCUCCCCCACGCCAAAUACAUAACUGUACUUGGUCUGAUGCUAAAUCAAGGUAAAUGAGACGUGACCUAUUAAAAAAGGAAAUGAAUUAUCGAAAGGGGAAAAUUGCAUUCCCGGCCGGGAGUGUGGACGUCAUGGCUUGAAUGUGUGUGUCUGUUCUGCCACUUCACUAGAUGGUCUUGCUUUUUGGGUGGCAUGUCUUCCAUCAUCCAAAUUGCCUCAUGAAGUCAGCAAAGUCAGUCAGACCAUGUUUUGGAGCUAUCUACUUUGUAUUUUUUUCCAAGGUUCUUUUUAAUGAAUGAAUGUAGUUAUAGCAGACCCGUCUUUAAGGGGUCUCUGGGAAUAGUCCUUAUUAAAUUCCCUACAACUUGAUCUAAGUCGGGAGUUAAAUGAUCUGUGUGAGCAGGCACACAGGUCAGGGUUUCACGGGCCAAACUCUUACUAGACUCCCGAAUAUCUUCCAAGUGCCAGUGGAGCCUGCCUGUCCUUCCAGCGGACUGUGGAGGAGGACGUAGGACUGUGAAGUUACUCCCAGGAAGUCACCCCAGGCAGUUCCUUCACAUCCUUGGGGCCAGCCUGAAUGGCACUGGACUCAUCCAAGGAGCCAGGUCUUUGCAAGUGGAGCAAAGAGCUGGAGGGCAGAGAUUCUCGGGCUGCAGGACCGGGAGAACGUUGUCCACGGUACUCUCCAUUAAAUGUCAGUGACCAGCUGGGCUUUGACCAGGCAACAAAGAGAAUCUGAUAGCCCAAGGAGGGGGCCAGUUCCUUAGGCUCUGUCCCUUGUCACUGUCUUGCCAUUUGUUGCAUUGUGGUCAUUCCAUAGCUUUUUCCUUUCUUUUUUUCUCUGUUUACUUGUAACAAAAGGGGAGGGGAGACAAACAGUUUUGGUACAUUAUAAUCAUUGAUAUUAUUUCCUUAUGGAAUGAAUAGUUCCUAUUAUUUCUAGCCAAUCCAGAUCAUUGUUGAGAAUAAUAAUAAAUAAAUCUUCCAUAUUAUGAUUGAAGCAAUCAUUAGAAAACAAACUUUCAUCGUGAGAUGUUUUGUAUUAGUCUUUU